Molecule: RNA transcript, 775 nt
Organism: Fragaria vesca subsp. vesca
Lineage: Eukaryota; Viridiplantae; Streptophyta; Magnoliopsida; Rosales; Rosaceae
Exons: 3
Source: RefSeq, a predicted model, not a curated record
GGCACCCCAGAAACCCAAAGACAAGAGAGACGCGCCCAUCCUGACAUUGCCUGCGACAUCCCCUUGAAUUUGCCUCACCAUAAGUUGAUGGAGGUGAAAUUCAAGCAGGUCUAGCUGAGUGGACUGGCCAGAGGACUGUGCCUAAUGUGUUCAUUGCGGGGAAGCACAUCGGCGGCUGCGUCUCUGUCUUAGAGAGGCAACAGGCCGGUCAGCAUCUGCCUCUUCUCCGGGAGGCUGGUGCAGUUGCUAAUCACCCGGUAUCUGCCUGAAUGAUCGAAGAAAAGAUGAAACUAAUCAGCCUGUAUUCCUGAGUCAAGGUUGGACUAGUUAAAUAAAAUGAGUCUAGCUACUGAAUGUUAUGUUUGAUAGAGUAAACAGCAAAAGAAGAAGCUCUUCUAUGGUUGUAGUUGUACAAAGUACAAACUGUGUUUCUUUUUAUAUAUGCAAUGGGUUACCGCCAAGUUUAGGUUGCAGAAUAGACAUGUCCUGUGUUGAGAAUGCCUCUAAAUAGGGUUGUGUGUCUGGAAUCCCAAUAUAUGACAUUUAUGUGUAUAGCCGAGGAACCUGAGUUUCUCUAGGUUAUAUAGUUAUUUGAUAGAGCACCAGACCAGUAUCAGUGCACAUUCACUGAAAAGUUCCAGCUUUGUAUCAACAGCGUCCGGUUUAUGCUUUCUUUCAAAGCUAAAUUACAACAUUCGGAGUUAUUAUAGGGUCCAAGUUUACAUUCCAGUAAUUGUACAGUUCUUAAUACCUCGAACUAGUCCACAUCAUGUGA